RNAcentral lists this ribosomal RNA (253 nucleotides) under uncultured bacterium. Its description in RNAcentral is "partial 16S ribosomal RNA". It matches the Rfam family "Bacterial small subunit ribosomal RNA", at positions 524 to 776 of the family's 1533-position model. The record is from RNAcentral.
UACGUAGGUGGCAAGCGUUGUCCGGAUUUACUGGGCGUAAAGGGCGUGCAGGCGGUCUGUUAAGUGCAGGGUGAAAGCUCCCGGCUCAACUGGGAGAGGUCCUUGCAUACUGGCGGACUUGAGGGGGGUAGAGGAAAGUGGAAUUCCCGGUGUAGUGGUGAUAUGCGUAGAUAUCCGCAGGAAUACCAGUGGCGAAGGCGGCACUCUGGGUUGUACCUGACGCUGAUGUGCGAAGGCUAGGGGAGCGAACAGG